AGAGUUUGAUCCUGGCUUAGGAUGAACGCUGGCGGCGUGCUUAACACAUGCAAGUCGAACGAAGUUUAAAGAGCUUGCUUUUAAACUUAGUGGCGGACGGGUGAGUAACGCGUGGGUAACCUGCCUUUCACAGGGGGAUAACAGUUAGAAAUGACUGCUAAUACCGCAUAAGCGCACAGGACGGCAUCGUCUAGUGUGAAAAACUCCGGUGGUGAAAGAUGGACCCGCGUCUGAUUAGCUAGUUGGUGAGGUAACGGCUCACCAAGGCGACGAUCAGUAGCCGGCCUGAGAGGGUGAACGGCCACAUUGGGACUGAGACACGGCCCAAACUCCUACGGGAGGCAGCAGUGGGGAAUAUUGCACAAUGGGGGAAACCCUGAUGCAGCGACGCCGCGUGAGUGAAGAAGUAUUUCGGUAUGUAAAGCUCUAUCAGCAGGGAAGAAAAUGACGGUACCUGACUAAGAAGCCCCGGCUAACUACGUGCCAGCCGCGGC
RNAcentral lists this ribosomal RNA (494 nucleotides) under uncultured bacterium. Its description in RNAcentral is "bacterial SSU rRNA". It matches the Rfam family "Bacterial small subunit ribosomal RNA", at positions 8 to 518 of the family's 1533-position model. The record is from RNAcentral.